UACAGAGGAGCCAAGCGUUGUCCGGAUUGACUGGGCGUAAAGCGCACGCAGGCGGAUGCGCGCGUGGGGUGUGAAAUCUGGCCGCUUAACGGCCAGGCGCCAUCCCAUACGGCGCGUCUGGAGUGAUGCAGAGGUCGAUGGAAUUGCCGGUGUAGUGGUGAAAUGCGUAGAGAUCGGCAGGAACACCCAGGGUGAAACCAGUCGACUGGGCAUCUACUGACGCUGAGGUGCGAGAGCGUGGGGAGCGAACCGG
Molecule: ribosomal RNA, 253 nt
Filed under: uncultured bacterium
Lineage: Bacteria
Description: partial 16S ribosomal RNA
Rfam family: Bacterial small subunit ribosomal RNA
Source: RNAcentral